AGCGUAGGCGGUUUUUUAAGUGGGGUGUGAAAUCCCUGGGCUUAACCCAGGAAUUGCAUUCCAUACUGGGGAACUAGAGUGCAGGAGAGGAAAGUGGAAUUCCAAGUGUAGCGGUGAAAUGCGUAGAGAUUUGGAGGAACACCAGUGGCGAAGGCGACUUUCUGGACUGUAACUGACGCUGAGGCUCGAGAGCGUGGGGAGCAAACAGGAUUAGAUACCCUGGUAGUCCACGCUGUAAACGAUGAAUACUAGGUGUUGGGGGCGAAGCCCUCAGUGCCGCAGUUAACACAUUAAGUAUUCCGCCUGGGGAGUACGAUCGCAAGAUUAAA
This 329-nucleotide ribosomal RNA is filed under the name uncultured bacterium. Its description in RNAcentral is "bacterial SSU rRNA". It matches the Rfam family "Bacterial small subunit ribosomal RNA", at positions 568 to 898 of the family's 1533-position model. The record is from RNAcentral.